UCCUUCAAGAUAGACUCAGUA
RNAcentral lists this small nuclear RNA (21 nucleotides) under Arabidopsis thaliana (thale cress). Its description in RNAcentral is "snRNA_07541". The record is from RNAcentral. Lineage: Eukaryota; Viridiplantae; Streptophyta; Magnoliopsida; Brassicales; Brassicaceae.